AUGGUUGUUUUGUGUAUGACUUGCAGUCAGGGAACAAAUGCAUUCUCUCAGUCUGGAUUAUAUUCAAACCAUCAAGAUAUAGCCCCUCGAUAUUUUGGGAUACUGCUCGGUCUAUCCAAUACCGCUGGAGUACUUGCUAGUGUGCUUGGAACAGCAGCAACAGGUUACAUUCUACAGCAUGGCUCGUGGGAUGAUGUUUUCAAGGUUACAUUUUAUGUAGUGUCCUCAACAGCAAAACGGACCAAGACCUUAAUACAUAAUUGA
This is a non-coding RNA of Vicia faba (fava bean), 264 nucleotides long. The record is from the annotation of a GenBank genome assembly. Lineage: Eukaryota; Viridiplantae; Streptophyta; Magnoliopsida; Fabales; Fabaceae.